UCGGCUGACGGCUCAGUAACACGUGGAUAAUCUGCCCUUAGGUGGAGGAUAAUCUCGGGAAACUGAGGACAAUACUCCAUAGGUUUAGGAGGCUGGAAUGCAUCUAGACUGAAAGCUCCGGCGCCUAAGGAUGAGUCUGCGGACUAUCAGGUAGUAGUCAGGGUAAAGACCUGACUAGCCUACGACGGAUACGGGUUGUGAGAGCAAUAACCCGGAGACGAUAUCUGAGACACGAUAUCGGGCCCUACGGGGCACAGCAGGCGCGAAAACUUCACACUGUGCGAAAGCACGAUGAGGGAAUCCCAAGUGCUUGCUCGUAAGAGUAAGCUGUUUUUCUGUCUAAAACGCAGAGAGAGUAAGAGCUGGGUAAGACGGGUGCCAGCCGCCGCGGUAAUACCUGCAGCUCAAGUGGUGGCCGCUAUUAUUGGGCCUAAAACGUCCGUAGCCGGUUUAGUAAAUGCCUGGGUAAAUCGUGUAGCUUAACUAUACGAAUUCCGGGUAGACUGCUAAACUUGAGACCGGGAGAAGCCAGAGGUACUCCUAGGGUAGAGGUGAAAUUCUGUAAUCCUAGGGGGACCACCAGUGGCGAAGGCGUCUAGCUAGAACGGGUCUGACGGUGAGGGACGAA
RNAcentral lists this ribosomal RNA (628 nucleotides) under uncultured archaeon. RNAcentral describes it as "bacterial SSU rRNA". It matches the Rfam family "Archaeal small subunit ribosomal RNA", at positions 78 to 708 of the family's 1478-position model. The record is from RNAcentral.